GCCGCCUUAGCUCAGUUGGUAGAGCGCUGUACUUGUAAUACAAAGGUCAUCGGUUCGAUUCCGAUAGGCGGCUCCA
Molecule: transfer RNA, 76 nt
Filed under: Streptomyces sp. H34-S4
Lineage: Bacteria; Bacillati; Actinomycetota; Actinomycetes; Kitasatosporales; Streptomycetaceae
Description: tRNA-Thr
Rfam family: tRNA
About the family: Transfer RNA (tRNA) molecules are approximately 80 nucleotides in length. Their secondary structure includes four short double-helical elements and three loops (D, anti-codon, and T loops). Further hydrogen bonds mediate the characteristic L-shaped molecular structure. tRNAs have two regions of fundamental functional importance: the anti-codon, which is responsible for specific mRNA codon recognition, and the 3' end, to which the tRNAs corresponding amino acid is attached (by aminoacyl-tRNA synthetases). tRNAs cope with the degeneracy of the genetic code in two manners: having more than one tRNA (with a specific anti-codon) for a particular amino acid; and 'wobble' base-pairing, i.e. permitting non-standard base-pairing at the 3rd anti-codon position.
Source: RNAcentral